GACAAGCACCGUAAAUGUCGUGAAGAUCCUUCAAACCGAAAAAGUGGAUUUCAUGCGAUGUUUGGCAGCCUUUGGAAUUGAUACCGCUGUUGCGAUACUACGAAGGAGAUCUGAAAGCUGCUCUACUGGAGGCUGGUGCCGAUGCUAUCCACUAUGUGUGGAGGCCAGUGAUCCAGAAUAAUGGGGCUGUGGACUACACUAUUCUUCCUAGGACGCUGGCACAACCAACUUUAGCAGCAUGCCAUCCAGUAGCGGCAGAAGCUCUUCAAACACAUAUCAGUGCUCUUCGUGCAUGGAACGAUAUCUACGGCGGGACCAGUAAGCCCGAGGAGUUUGUACUCUGCUUCUUCCUGGCGAAAUCGAACUAUGACGAAUUCGGCUUCCAGAGCUACCGCGACAAGUCCCGUAGGGUAACAAAACAAGCUGUGAAAGGUAUUCGCCAGUGCAAAGUGUUGCUGCGGUACACUGUUCCCGCUCCAUGUGCAAAGGAGAUGGUGAUUCCCAAGGGUGUCGAGAUUGUGGAUGACAUCGAGCAGUGCAAGUUUGACGGUGAAGUGUGCGAAACUAACUUUUUUGAUCCAGGGGAGGACCUCCGACGAGACGAGGAGGUGAGUAUGAACAAGAAGCGGAAGUUUGCCUUCUGCUGUUUGAAGUAGAAAGUUUGUGUCUCUUCAAGAAUGCAUAGGGACUUUCUCUGCCUUUCUCA
Selaginella moellendorffii is the source of this 706-nucleotide long non-coding RNA. RefSeq lists it as uncharacterized. The transcript has 3 exons. The record is from RefSeq and is a predicted model, not a curated record. NCBI's taxonomy places the organism in Eukaryota, Viridiplantae, Streptophyta, Lycopodiopsida, Selaginellales, Selaginellaceae.